This 490-nucleotide ribosomal RNA is filed under the name uncultured bacterium. Its description in RNAcentral is "partial 16S ribosomal RNA". It matches the Rfam family "Bacterial small subunit ribosomal RNA", at positions 29 to 507 of the family's 1533-position model. The record is from RNAcentral.
AGUGAACGCUGGCGGUAGGCCUAACACAUGCAAGUCGAACGGCAGCACAGUAAGAGCUUGCUCUUACGGGUGGCGAGUGGCGGACGGGUGAGGAAUACAUCGGAAUCUACUUUUUCGUGGGGGAUAACGUAGGGAAACUUACGCUAAUACCGCAUACGACCUACGGGUGAAAGCAGGGGAUCUUCGGACCUUGCGCGAUUGAAUGAGCCGAUGUCGGAUUAGCUAGUUGGCGGGGUAAAGGCCCACCAAGGCGACGAUCCGUAGCUGGUCUGAGGAUGAUCAGCCACACUGGAACUGAGACACGGUCCAGACUCCUACGGGAGGCAGCAGUGGGGAAUAUUGGACAAUGGGCGCAAGCCUGAUCCAGCCAUACCGCGUGAGUGAAGAAGGCCUUCGGGUUGUAAAGCCCUUUUGUUGGGAAAGAAAAGCAGCAGGUUAAUACCCCGCUGUUCUGACGGUACCCAAAGAAUAAGCACCGGCUAACUUCGUG